UCCCAGACUCCUACGGGAGGCAGCAGUGGGGAAUUUUGGACAAUGGGCGCAAGCCUGAUCCAGCUAUUCCGCGUGUGGGAUGACGGCCCUCGGGUUGUAAACCACUUUAGUAGAGAACGAAAAGGAGCUAUCGAAUAAAUAGCUCUGCUGACGGUACUCUAAGAAUAAGCACCGGCUAACUACGUGCCAGCAGCCGCGGUAAUACGUAGGGUGCGAGCGUUAUCCGGAUUUAUUGGGUUUAAAGGGUGCGUAGGCGGGAGAUCAAGUCAGCGGUAAAAAGGCGGGGCCCAACCCCGUCGAGCCGUUGAAACUGGUUUUCUUGAGUGGGCGAGAGGUAUGCGGAAUGCGUGGUGUAGCGGUGAAAUGCAUAGAUAUCACGCAGAACCCCGAUUGCGAAGGCAGCAUACCGGCGCCCAACUGACGCUGAGGCACGAAAGCGUGGGUAUCGAACAGGAUUAGAUACCCCGGUAAG
Molecule: ribosomal RNA, 472 nt
Filed under: uncultured bacterium
Lineage: Bacteria
Description: bacterial SSU rRNA
Rfam family: Bacterial small subunit ribosomal RNA
Source: RNAcentral